Long non-coding RNA from Equus caballus (horse), 3424 nucleotides. The record is from Ensembl. NCBI's taxonomy places the organism in Eukaryota, Metazoa, Chordata, Mammalia, Perissodactyla, Equidae.
AGGGGAUAGUGGUGGGGUAAGAGGCUUGUGAUUAAGAACUACUUGUUGAUUGAUUGUAUAUGGUUGUUUAUUGUGAUUUGUAUGCUCUGCUCUCCCUAAAGAGUCUCCUUGGGAAGUUUGUCCUUUUUCUUGCUAGUAUGCUCCAGGGGUGAGCACAAGGCUAUUGUGGAAACUCGGGCUUCCCCUGAGACGUCAGCUGAAACACCCCUUCUCUGUGGAAUGCCUAUGGACAUCCCAAGUUCUCUCCAAGAUGUUUGUGGACUUGGGGUUUAGAUUUUUGGGGUCCCCUCUGCCUCCUGGUUCUGAGGUCUCUGUGCUCUCCCUGUUCUGCUGUGGAUUUAAACUCGGACAUGAAACCCUUCUCUUGUUCUCCAAAACCACUCGCACCAAGCAUUUAGGUGUGUAGCUGGUUCUAGGGUUUUAUGGUGCCCACCCUUGUGCCAUUUUGUGAGUACCUUUCUCUUCCUCUUCCCUUCACUGCUCCACAUCUAUUUCCCACAAAUUGCCCUCAUCUCUAAAUCCUCCCUCUAUUUACUCAGCCCUCCUGAGCUCCCCACCCCAAACAGGCUUAGGCUAAAUUGUCAUGGUGCACAGUAGACAAGAAAGCUUCCUGUUAGACAGACUCAUCCUCCAAUAGAAAGCGGUUAUGGUUAAAAAUUCUGAAAAUGUGCUGGGGCUGGCCCCGUGGCCAAGUGGUUAAGUUCGCGCGCUCCGCUGCAGGCAGCCCAGUGUUUCGUCGGUUCGAAUCCUGGGCGCGGACAUGGCACUGAUCGUCAGACCACGCUGAGGCAGCGUCCCACAUGCCACAACUAGAGGAACCCACAACGAAGAAUGCACAACUAUGUACCGGGGGGCUUUGGGGAGAAAAAGGAAAAAAUAAAAAAUCUUUAAAAAAAAAAAAAUUCUGAAAAUGUGCUUUCUAAAAGACAAGAGAUCCAGCAGUUAGGGUUUGGGGACCUCUAAGAUUUAUGUCCAAACCCAGCACAACUACUCAUUUUAAACCAGGAAGGCCUCACCCUUCAAGACAUCAUCUCACCUUGUAAAGUAUUAGCUCUUCCAGAGACAGGGCAAGGAGAAGUUGAAAGGCAGAGCAAAGCUAGAGGCAAAUAAGAGGCCCAGCAGGGAAAAGGGUCCCGAUCACCCUACCUUCUCCUCUUGUCUCCAGAGGGCUGGCCUACAAGUCAGAAGGCUGGGCUUCUGGAACUUGCUCCUCAUCAACCUUAUGAUCUUAGGCCUGGGUGUUCUCAUCCGCAGAGCGAGGAUAAUAAGGGAGGGACAAAGGCUUAAUGGAACGGGAUACAUGAGUACCUGCUUCAUAGUAGCUGCUUAACAUGUUCUAGAUGCCACAUUCGCCUCUGCUUUUGCAACAAGAAAAAGACGUGAGCCUUAACAUUUCUUGUGUGGGUGCUGAGACUAUUAGCUAAAUGUUUGGUGAUCCUCCACAGCUUCUUCAGUGCUCAUCAAUCAGUCAGCAAGUGAGGGUCGAACACCCACACCAUACCUCACCACAGUGGUCUCAGUGUGAGACUGGUGAUCAGGGCGGUACUUAUUUUGGAAGCUAAAGUGAGCUAACGUUUUGUUUUAAAAUUUGUUUGUAUUUUGAUAUUCUCCCAUGAGGAAACUGGCGCUGCCUCCCCACCCACCACCAAGUCAGGGCGCCCCCCCACCCCCCUCCACCCCUGUGCCGCCAUGUGGUGCUCCUGGUGCAGUGCUGGCAGCGCCCAGCAGGGGCCGGCCUCGCUCUUCCCUGGCCGGCCCUGGCUCACCGGCGAGCAGCAGGCUGCGCGGGGAUGUGGGGGAGGCUCUUUCUCUCAGCUGAGGUUUGAAGACCUUUUCACCAUGAGCCACAGGAAGACAUGCAUUUUACAUCACAACCCAGUGUAGGUUUAUGCACAUGUGUGUUUUGCUAAGCAACACUUACUGCAUGGGUGCACUCUGAUCUAUUUCUAGUUUGUUCAGUUCUGUCCGAGAUUUGGUCAUUUAAAAAAUGCUGCUCACACCCCCCAGUAGAAGGAGACCCAUACUCUGAAACCCACUGGGAGUCUGAGCCUGGGAGUGGGGACAUGGGUGGGGGAUAUUUGGGAUCACCUGAAAAGGACCUCUCAGUACAGAGAUUAAAAAGUGUGGGCUAGGGAGCCAGGCUGCCGCAUGGAAUCCCAGCUCUGCCCUUUUCUCCAUUUGUAGCCUGGACGACCUUCUCUACCCUUCUAUGCUCAGUAAAAGACAGCACUGGUGAUAAUAGCCACGCCUUUUCCACUCAGAAGCAGGCACUGCUGCAGCGUGCCAUCACCGCAAAGCCUGCCUGGAUUCACUGACCCGACAUAUGUUGACACCUAUGUUGACACCUCCUACGGAAGAUAGCUGAGCAGAAAGCUCCCGGCCUGGCUGAUGUGGCUGAAUAGCAUGCAGACAAUUACAACAAAAGUGAUACGGUGAUGAUGGGCGCUGGGUGCCCUGGGGACACGUGGAUGCCUGGAAGACUCCUUAGCUCAGCGGUUCUCAAAGCGUGGUCCCCCAGACCAGCAGCAGCAGCAGCAGAACCUGAGAACUUGUUAGAAAUGCAACUUCUUGGGCCUUCAUCCAUGUGUGCAGUCAGAAAACCGGGAGUGGGCCCGGCUAGCUGUUUUAAUAAGUCUUCCCAGUGAUGCUGAUACACAUUCCAAUCUGAGAACGACUGCCAGUGGUUACCAGAGUCAUCUGGGGGCACCCAGUAUCAAUUUAAUCACAUCUGGGAGUGGGAGUCAGGCAUCAGUAGUUUUUUAAAAGAUUCCCAGAUGAUUUUUUUCUCCUUCUUCUUCCCAAAGCCCCCCAGUACGUAGUUGUAUAUUCUAGUUGUAGGUCCUUCUAAUUCUGCUAUGUGGGGCACCACCUCAGCAUGGCUUGAAGAGCAGUGCUAGGUCCCCGCUCAGGAUCCGAACUAGUGAAACCCUGGGCCGCUGAAGCAGAGCGCGUGAACUCAACCACUUGGCCAUGAGGCCAGCCCCUCACAAAAGUAGGGCAACCGCUGUCCCAACCCAAACCCAGGGAGUGGGGCAUCUGAGAAAGCUUACUGGAGGGGGUGUCAUGUAGGCAGAAACCUUAAAUGCAGUCGGGGCUUGUGAGUUAACAUGGGUUGGAGGGAAAUGUGGAGGAGCGAGGGGAUGGCUGGUGCCCAUAGAAGGUUCCAAAGGGACUGUAAUCUAAUGUGGAAGAAGGUGGGAUCUGGAGAUGACCUUCUGGGUGCGAAUCCUGCUGCACCCUCCUAGCUAGUGUGACCACAGGCCAAUUACUUAACCUCUCUUUCUCAUCCACAUGGGGUUCCCAUGAGGAUUAAGCACAUAAUAGAAAUUUUGCUUAUUACUGUUGGUAUGGGAUUAUAAUUAUAAGUUGAGCUAAAGGCCCAGGCAUGAGCCAGAAUAUCUGGGGAGCUUAGUGUGACAAGAGC